CCUGUUUCUUUUACAAAUCCCUCAAAAGACCAACCCCUGUGCUAAACAGCAUUGUCAGUCAUGGACAGAGAACCAGUUAACAAAUCAGCAUCAAAACAAGUCCACGGCACAUACAUAUGUGUGUGACUCUACAUGCGAAUGAAGACAUUCGGAUUGGUACUUAAUGCAUUUUAAUAGACCAGAAAAUUCAGAUUGGUACUUAAUGCAAUUCAAAAGUCCGAGUGCUGCAAACAGCCACCACCUUUUGGGGCCAUUUGGAGACCCUUAGUAUCAAGCAGACGGUAAGCGGCAGAGUCCCUAACAGAUUUGUGCUUCUGGCAACACUUUGUAAUAAGGAACAGGAAAGGAAUGUUGAGUGGCCAAUACUUCCUAGAAAGCAUUCUGGGACAAGAAAGGAAGGAAAGAACCUUGUGAAGAUCCUCGGGCACUCGAAUACAGCAGAAUGUGCAAGUUCAGGUCCAACAACCCGUUUUAUUCAGCUAGAGGCACCCAGGAAGUGUAUCACCUUGGGGAAGACAGCUGCCAUAUUGUGAGCAGCCCUAUAAAAAGACAAGGAAAGGAGGAAGACCUCCAGUCAACAGCCAGUGAAGAACUGAGGUUCUCAGCCUAUCAUCAACAACCAGAUAGGGAAACUGAAGCAUGGGAAACUUGAGUAAGUUACUUAAUGUCACUUGGAUAAUAAACAUCGGAGCCAGGAUUUGAAUCCAGGUGAGUUGGCUCAGGAACCCACACUCUUAAUGAUGCAUUACAUUUGCCUGAUACCAGAUACAAAUAGCCACUCCGGCAAGGUCAUCUAGGUCAGUCAUUGCUCAGGUAUCACAUUCAGACACUGGGAAAGCCUGGGAUCACAGGCCUUGUCUACUACUCUCUUCGAGACACUCUCAGCAACUCACAUAGUUGGGGGUUGUUCUUUCCUAUGGCCGGCCCUACCUUGGCACUUCAACCCCCACCUCCCCAUCUUACCUACUGCCACAGUUAAUAAGGUUUAUUCUCCUUUCACAUCACCAUAACCCAUAUUAUGAAAGACCAUCAUCAAAUGUCUCUAUGUCACAUUUUUCCUAAUUUCAUUCUUUAGGGCUCAUCAUGCUUUGUACUCUCUACUAUGUCCCUCCCCUCAGACAAGAGCCUAAAAUAUUCUGAUUAGUGAUGAAUAUGUGUUCUCCGGGUGAGGCGUAUUGCUAAUAAUUAAACAGUAUUAAUUCUACCAGCUUUGAUUAUACUCUGCUCUCUCAGUAAUAAGGUUCAGUAUUCUAUUUUCAUUCUGCCUAGCAUUGAGUAAUAGAAUUGGUGUUUAAGAAUUAUCAUAUAAAUCUAUUUUUUGGUCAGCCAGUGUUGGAGGGUUUUUUUCAAUAUAUUACAAAUGUAUUCAUUAUUCCCUAGUUCAUAAAAAUAAUUAAAAGCUACAGGCCAAACACAAAUUCCCAGAACACGAAAACCUGACUGGCAUCCCACUGCCAAAUACCAAGGUUGCCAGCUUCUGAGUUUAUGGGUUUCUUAAUGAGAACUUCUACCUUCUCAUUCGAUAAAGGGCUUAGGUAGACAAUUCCUCCUGGUGUUCCUAGUAUAAUUCCUGAUAUAACCAGGAGUUGCAAAACUAAAACCCUACACAUCUAAAAUGAAACUGGCCUACUGUUAUUUUAUAUAUGUUUUUAGAAAUUCAGAAAUGACUUGCCCUAAAAUAAAACCUGUCAAAAAAAUUUCUUAAAAGUGAUUCAUAGAAUGUAAAUAACAUGUGUUCAUACUCUUCUAAAAAAGAAAGGAGGAAAAUAACAGAGAAGGAAAUACAAAUAGAUCCAAUUCAUCAUUGUGAUACCUAGGUUUCUCCUUAGAUAAAACAGACAUAAAACAUGUGCUUUACAAGUCUCAGAUGACCUUCAAGACAUCUAAGUACAGUAUCUGUGGAUUUUUAAGUAUAAUUAACAACUUGUUUUUCUAUUUAAAGAAUUUUCAUUCUGUUUCCUUAACAGGCAAAAGCCAAUCAGUCUUGUUCUCAAAUGCUAAUGUAAGUAAUUAAAAAUAACAUUAAUUGAAAUACUGCAGGGCUGUUAGGUUUUUAGAUGGUGAGUUAUUUUUUUUUCCUUCAUCUUAACCUUGUGGCAAUACUAAUUUACAUGACCAAUUAGGGAAGCACCCUUUGUAUGAUCCAUCUCUAGGAUAAAGAGCUGGGCUUUAAAAUCCAGCAAAGAACUGCAGAAGGCCACAGCACUGUAAGUAAGCUUGGGCGCCAGCAGCUAGAAUCUUUAUUUCACCUGGUAGACCAAACAUGACAGAUCGUCUUAUUUACAGUGUGAAUACUAAUUUUUUUGGUUUUGGUAACAAAAAUACAGUGCUCAUUUGUAUUGUUGUAAAACUUGUAAAUAUGCCCUGUAGGAUAAGUAAUAUUCGAAGCAACAUCCUAAUUAAAAGGAAAACUCAGUUGUCUUGCAAGAUAAUACAAAAGGGCACAUAAAUUGUAAAUAAGAUACAUGGUAAAAAUGAAAAAGACAGGCUGGAUAGGAAAGGAAUGAAAUAAGAUUCGGAAAUGUGCUUCUUAAAUGAACACAAAUUGUGAGAUAAUGUCUCACUGAACAAUAAAAAUAACAAACCAGUGGCAAAGAUGUAAUAGAAUUUCCUCUGUAUACCAUUUUAAUCUUAAUAUAAUUUUCCCCAGUGCAUCCACAUUUAUUGAACUACUACAACCAUUUCUUUCUCACUCUGUCCAAAGUUACUGAGAGUGUGUUUCUUUGCUGUAAAUAAUUCCCUGAUUAUGAACAUGAAAACGAUCCAGAAAUUGACCACAGUUUAUAAAAGAAAAAAAAUGACAGAGCAUCUGCUCAGGGCCAAAAGCCUUACAAGAAUGCCAAAAGCAUGUGCAGUUUCCUCAGGGAAGCAGGGGCUGCAUGCAAAAAACCAUUUUCCCUUCCUCCUGCAUAAGGCAACUCCACACCUCUAUUUCUUUGUUCCUGUCUUCAGAAAAUGCAGAGAAGACUUCCAUGGUACCUCAAACUACAGUUUGCCAUCAUGUGAGAAUAGGGCUGAUGCCAAGGGAAGUGCCAAGUCCAGUUAAUCAGAACCCAAAUGGCUUGAGAAAGAUGCACAACAGUAUGGCCUCAGUUUCUCAGUCUGCAAAAUGGGGAUGAUCAUAGUUAAACCUCUUAGCUUCAAGUCUAAUGGGUAACUAGGUGCUUACUGAAGUCUACUGAAAUAUGGAUGUGAAAGACCAAACUCCACAUACGUGAAGGGUUUGCUGGAGGGGAGACAUGGAGGCCAGAAGGAGCCCUGCCUCUACUCCUGACCCCUACCUUAGGAAGUUCAGUAAAAUGUCCAAUUCCAGUCAACCCCAUACCAAUCUCAGACAUUUCAACUACCGGGGUAAUAAAUCCCCACCCCACCUUUGCUUACACUGAGGUUGGUCAUUCACUUCAUGUAUUUUUUUCAUGAGGUUCUUAAGGUUCUAAACUUUAAAGAAACAUUCAAAAGUGGAAAUUAUGCCCUGCUUAUCACUUAGCUUUUAAUUUGGCACCACUCUGCCAAAUUAGGAAUCUGUUUUUUACUGAACAUCAACACUCAAAUACUUU
Molecule: long non-coding RNA, 3557 nt
Filed under: Homo sapiens (human)
Lineage: Eukaryota; Metazoa; Chordata; Mammalia; Primates; Hominidae
Description: HSALNT0070056
Source: RNAcentral